This is a non-coding RNA of Phaseolus vulgaris (common bean), 119 nucleotides long. The record is from Rfam. Lineage: Eukaryota; Viridiplantae; Streptophyta; Magnoliopsida; Fabales; Fabaceae.
AGGUGCGAUCAUACCAGCACUAAUGCACCGGAUCCCAUCAGAACUCCGCAGUGAAGCGUGCUUGGGCGAGAGUAGUACUAGGAUGGGUGACCUCCUGGGAAGUCCUCGUGUUGCACUUC